AUGCUUGAUCGAUAUGCUGACAUUAUUGUGUUUCUUAUUUUCAGUGGCAUGGCCAAGCUUAGUAAAAAGGCGAAAGUGAACAAGCCGGCUGAAGACUCCAAUCCUUCUGAGCCAGAGAAGCAACUGCCAGAGACCUCUCAUCCAACCGCUGAAGCUAUCAUUGAUGACCCGCCACCAGAAGAGCACGACGUCACCAUGGAUCAUAUAGAAGUUGAACCGGUCAUCACUAAGCCACCAAGCCCCAUCAAGCCUACUGAAGAGAAAACUGACGAUGUCGUCAUCACCGGGCUUGGUUAUACAGCGUCGGGUAAUCCUACUGCCUUAUCCAAGCACAGCGCCAAAGAAGAAUUUUCUGCUGCUGAUAUAGGCAAGUGGAAGGUAGACUUGGAAAGCUAUGCUCAAUUCGGCGCCCAAGAGAUCCAUUUCGGCUAUUUGAACCGUCUGUAUACCAGCCGUGACUUUGAAGCCGGUUUGGUCAACUUGAUGAAGGAGCGCUAUGAGGUAAUCCAACAAAAACCCUCAUAA
This 525-nucleotide ribosomal RNA is filed under the name Triticum aestivum (bread wheat). Its description in RNAcentral is "partial small subunit ribosomal RNA". Lineage: Eukaryota; Viridiplantae; Streptophyta; Magnoliopsida; Poales; Poaceae. The record is from RNAcentral.